GGAUGUGAGGGCGAUCUGGCUGCGACAUCUGUCACCCCAUUGAUCACCAGGGUUGAUUUGGCUGAUCUGGCUGGCUGGGCGGUGUCCCCUUCCUCCCUCACUGCUCCAUGUGUGUCCCUCCCAAAGCUGCUUGCUCAGUCGAAGAGGAUGACCAUCCCCAGUAGAGGAGGACCAGUCUUCUGGGGUGUACGAGUAGUUGCACUCCCCUGCUAGAACCUCAAAACAAGCUCUCCCUGGCUCUCAUAAGUUUUAACUUUCACAGUCAUGAAUAAUGAUGCUUAACUCUGUUGCCUAAGAUAUAUAAGUGUGCCUGCUU
RNAcentral lists this small nuclear RNA (316 nucleotides) under Pongo abelii (Sumatran orangutan). Its description in RNAcentral is "7SK RNA". It matches the Rfam family "7SK RNA". From Rfam's summary of the family: 7SK was discovered as an abundant small nuclear RNA in the mid-70s but a possible function has only recently been suggested. Two independent studies have found that 7SK RNA binds the CDK9/cyclin T complex (known as elongation factor P-TEFb). The record is from Rfam by way of RNAcentral. Lineage: Eukaryota; Metazoa; Chordata; Mammalia; Primates; Hominidae.